RNAcentral lists this transfer RNA (73 nucleotides) under Marmota monax (woodchuck). RNAcentral's name for it is "tRNA.Ala". The stretch from base 7 to 67 matches the Rfam family "tRNA", at positions 6 to 65 of the family's 71-position model. From Rfam's summary of the family: Transfer RNA (tRNA) molecules are approximately 80 nucleotides in length. The record is from RNAcentral. Lineage: Eukaryota; Metazoa; Chordata; Mammalia; Rodentia; Sciuridae.
UGGAGUUGUGGCUCAGUGGUAGAGCACUUGCCUAGCAUGUGUGAGGCCCUAGGUUGGAUUCUUAGCACUGUAU